This 274-nucleotide ribosomal RNA is filed under the name uncultured bacterium. Its description in RNAcentral is "partial 16S ribosomal RNA". It matches the Rfam family "Bacterial small subunit ribosomal RNA", at positions 523 to 796 of the family's 1533-position model. The record is from RNAcentral.
AUACGGAGGGUGCAAGCGUUACUCGGAAUCACUGGGCGUAAAGCGCGCGCAGGCGGUCUUUUAAGUUGGAUGUGAAAGCCUACGGCUCAACCGUAGAACUGCAUCCAAAACUAUUAGACUAGAGUGUGGGAGAGGAAGAUGGAAUUAGUUGUGUAGGGGUAAAAUCCGAAGAGAUAACUAGGAAUACCAAAAGCGAAGGCAAUCUUCUGGAACACUACUGACGCUGAGGCGCGAAAGCGUGGGGAGCAAACAGGAUUAGAUACCCUAGUAGUCC